UCGUACAAGGUUUCCGUAAGUGAACCUGCGGAAGGAUCAUUA
Molecule: ribosomal RNA, 42 nt
Filed under: Crinipellis scabella
Lineage: Eukaryota; Fungi; Basidiomycota; Agaricomycetes; Agaricales; Marasmiaceae
Description: partial 18S ribosomal RNA
Source: RNAcentral